UGGAAAUGGUUUUAGCAGAUGCAGCUA
Molecule: non-coding RNA, 27 nt
Filed under: Homo sapiens (human)
Lineage: Eukaryota; Metazoa; Chordata; Mammalia; Primates; Hominidae
Source: RNAcentral